This is a long non-coding RNA of Camelus dromedarius (Arabian camel), 1013 nucleotides long. RefSeq lists it as uncharacterized. The record is from RefSeq and is a predicted model, not a curated record. The transcript is spliced from 4 exons. Lineage: Eukaryota; Metazoa; Chordata; Mammalia; Artiodactyla; Camelidae.
UUGCCUCAUGCCAUUAUGGAGUCUGAGAUCUGCAGUGGGCAAGAACCCGGUAUCUGGCCACCCAGGACAAAGACUACAUUUCCCAGCUUCCCUUGCAAUGAGGUACAGCAUGUGACCAAGUUCUGGACAACAGAAUGGAAGCAGAAAUGGCAUGUUCCUGAGAGCACUCCCCAGCAAACAUCUUGCAUGCUGCUUUCUACCUCAGAGUCUUUCCGGGGGAACCAGAUCUGCAGCAUCAUGGUCAGCCCCCGCAGGAAGCCUGAUGAGCUGGGCUCCGCUCCACACUGCUCUCAGUGAGGCUCGUCUGUUUACCAAUUCGCCGCAGAGCAGAUGGAUGACACGGAGGCCACAUUUUUCUCCCCUCGCAGCAGGAAAAUGAAUCUCACCAAGUGUUGCCGACACCAUCCUACCAGGUUCCGCAUCCAUUGUGGACAGGCCCCGCUGACAGAGCACAGGUCCAUCCCUCAGCCCGGCUCCAAGCCCCGGGGGAGAGGACGCAGACAAGAUGAAUGUUUCACAUCCCUCCCAUCCUCAGUGCUGCUCCUCCUCUCCCCUCAGAUCCACCCACUCCACUGAGUGGCCCCUGCAGCACCUCCUGGCCUCCGUCUUGACGGCACUUGGAAGCAGAUGCUCCAGACAGAGAGAAGAUGGGGCCGUGAUCAGGGGAGAGAGGUGAGAAGGCGCUGGAUUCAGGCCUGAUAACCUUACACAAUCUGAAAGCAUGAUGAAGGACAGUCAUUUCACUGAAACACCUGAAGGUCAAGUCUGCCCGGGAGUGAGGCUGCUGGGAAGAUGGGGCAGUGGUCUGGAGACCCGGAUUUGAAUCCCAGCUCCUUUAUCAAUGAAACUCUAGGACUUUGGGCCAUUCUACUGCUGUGGGUCUUGUUUUCUUCCAAAACUGGAAUGGAUUCCUUCCAGUGCUGAUGAUUGGUCAUGUGCUGUGGAUUUAAAGACACAAUACUAAUAUUCCACCAUUUAUUGAGCACUUAUUGUGUGCCUUAGACUGAAUGGAA